Molecule: ribosomal RNA, 136 nt
Filed under: Vibrio cholerae
Lineage: Bacteria; Pseudomonadati; Pseudomonadota; Gammaproteobacteria; Vibrionales; Vibrionaceae
Description: partial 23S ribosomal RNA
Rfam family: Bacterial large subunit ribosomal RNA
Source: RNAcentral
AGCCCUGAGAUGAGUCUUCCCUGACAGUUUAACUGUCCUAAAGGGUUGUUCGAGACUAGAACGUUGAUAGGCAGGGUGUGUAAGCGUUGUGAGGCGUUGAGCUAACCUGUACUAAUUGCCCGUGAGGCUUAACCAU